This 462-nucleotide ribosomal RNA is filed under the name uncultured bacterium. Its description in RNAcentral is "SSU rRNA". It matches the Rfam family "Bacterial small subunit ribosomal RNA", at positions 26 to 518 of the family's 1533-position model. The record is from RNAcentral.
AGAAUCAACGCUUGCGGCGUGCCUAACACAUGCAAGUCGAACGAGAAAGUGGUAGCAAUACCAUGAGUAAAGUGGCGCACGGGUGAGUAACACGUGACUAACCUACCCUUGAGUGGGGGAUAACUGAGGGAAACCUUAGCUAAUACCGCAUAAUACCCACGGGUCAAAGGAGCAAUUCGCUCGAGGAGGGGGUCGCGGCCGAUUAGUUAGUUGGCAGGGUAAUGGCCUACCAAGACGAUGAUCGGUAUCCGGCCUGAGAGGGCGCACGGACACACUGGAACUGAAACACGGUCCAGACUCCUACGGGAGGCAGCAGUGGGGAAUUUUGCGCAAUGGGGGAAACCCUGACGCAGCAACGCCGCGUGGAGGAUGAAGUCCUUCGGGACGUAAACUCCUUUCGAUCGGGACGAUUAUGACGGUACCGGAAGAAGAAGCCCCGGCUAACUUCGUGCCAGCAGCCGC